Molecule: long non-coding RNA, 1430 nt
Organism: Rhododendron vialii
Lineage: Eukaryota; Viridiplantae; Streptophyta; Magnoliopsida; Ericales; Ericaceae
Exons: 2
Source: RefSeq, a predicted model, not a curated record
AAAUAACCGAUCUUAAUUUGCUAACUUUGUGUGAGAUUCAUGUCUUGUUUGAAAUCCCCACCCCUGUUUCUUUACCCUUCUAUUUAUCACCCUGUUUUUUCCCUCCCUUCCAAACAGAGUGUUAAAACUUGAAUAACUACGGCACACUCAACUUCUAUCCUCUGCGGUCGUACUCUCGCCGGUGGGCUCGACAAUUGCUGCCCGGCCGACUACAUGACAUCGGAACGUCAUCAUCGAACAAGAAUGAGCCGUACUUGCCAGUGGACUGGACCAUUGCGCGCUGCCCUGGCUACCACUUGAUGCCAGAGACACAAUCAUAGACGGCGACAAUGGAGAGAGGAGAGAGAGACAACCACUAUCAGCUACACCAUAGAUGCAUACAAAGACAUAAUUUGAUGCUUAGAGACAAGUGAGGUCUUUUCAUCAACCUCUGUUUGUUCUUUCAUCGAACAUUUUCUAAGUGUAUUCAUGUUUUUGAUGGUUAGUUUUUACAUCAAGAAUGCUUAGUUUUUUAUGCUUUCAUGUGUGAAUUUGGACGUGAGCACUGAAAAAGAACUGUAUUUAGAUGGUAUUUCUAUAUUGAUUCACCUUUUUUUUUUAAAUUGAAAUUCGUCUGAUGGAAAAAAUGGAUUUGAUUUCUGAAAUUCAAACUAAGCAUAGCAUAGUUAGAUGCUUCUGUCAUUGAGUCUGCCUUUGUACUUCAUACGCGUAUGUCAUAAAUUUUCAUCAAAUUUGCUAUUCUUUACGGUUCUUUUGAAUAUAGUUUGGCUAGAGGAACCUUAUGCUAUUCUACGUUAGCAUUUAACUAGCAUACAAUUACUUGUGAGAAUAACAAAAAAAGAAGAUAGUUUUGUGUCUGUCCAGUAGAGUGAAUCUGUCCCAUUCAGAUGAACAACAGAGGGGUAUCCUCCACCAUUUUAUACACAGCUUUAUACUUGGAGAUAUACAGACUGUGUUCCGGUCUCCUAAACAUAGCAAAACAGAUAUUAAAAAAAAAAAAAAAGCGUCUUUAUUGGAAAAUUGGAGCCAACUAGCUAAGUAUGUUGCUUUGGUUUUUCUAGUGACAGCUUUUUCUUUGAUCCUUCAGCAUAACCUCACACAGAGGAAUGUAAAUUGAGAUAAAAAGAGAUGGCAGGGGAGAUAUUGAUACAACUGGAUAGAAAUGAAGGAGAUGCAAAGCUAUGUGCUAUGGAUCCUUGCAAACGUGCAAAGUGCCCACUUCGGAUACUCAACACCCGGACAUCAGACAAUUGUAUGAGAGCCAUGUUUGACAUGUUUAGUUGCACAUUCACAUAGCAAACAUACUUUGUAAUUCGGGUUUAGCAUGAACUAGGUAUAGAAUUCGUGAAUUAUGCGUGGAAUGCCUAAGGGUAUCUUUCAAACACUAUUUACCCUAUCAAAUAAAAGUAAAGUACUGAAGAAGUUGAAUA